RNAcentral lists this long non-coding RNA (2516 nucleotides) under Homo sapiens (human). RNAcentral describes it as "HSALNT0234058". The record is from RNAcentral. Lineage: Eukaryota; Metazoa; Chordata; Mammalia; Primates; Hominidae.
UGAUUCUCCUGCCUCAGCCUCCCAAGUAGCUGGGAUUACAGGCACGUGCCACCACACCCAGCUAAUUUUGGUAUUUUUAGUAGAGAUGGGGUUUCACCAUGUUGGCCAGGCUGGUCUCAAACUCAUGACCUCAGGUGAUCCACCUUCUUUGCCCUCCCAAAGGGCUGGGAUUUUAGGCAGGGUUGUUAUUUAAGCUGAGAACUGGAGAUAUGGAAGCCAGGCAAAGGUCAGUGUGACUGGUUAUCUGGGGGUGAGAAAAAAAGGCUGCAGAGGGGAAGCUGGCCAGGUGGGCAAUGGCUUGAUCUGCAGAGAUUUGGAUGAUACUGCUGAGAGUCCAGGUUGAUUUUCAAAACUUUGGGAAAAAAAAAAUAGAUGGCACCAUUAAUAAAUAGAUGCCUACUUUUAUAUUCAUCAGGGAAUCUCUGCUCCGGGAACUCACAGAUACUUAAACUGAUAGGAGAAAGACCCCCUGCCUGCCUCCCUUCUUCUUUUCCAACGUUCUGACCUUUCUCCUGUGCCUUCCUGGCCCUUUGCAUGGCUCCUUUCCCCAUAUUGUGAGUGCCCCAGUGGCUUGAUGUCACUGAGAACAUCAUAUGCAGAUGGAGGGUUCUUUUCUUGGAGAGAUUGUGAUUCAGUCAUUCAAGAUGAUUCAAUCAUUCAAGAAAAGAAAACUUGCACUUGCUGAAAAUGUUCUAGAAGCCAGCUGCUGUGCCAUAGGAGUAAAAAACUUUUAUUAAAAUAUUUUACAUGUAUAUAUGUAUAUAAAUUUCACAGGACAUAAUUCUACAGGUCGAGGAGUUUCGCAGACAUAACUCCUUGGGAGCAGUGCCCAGGUCAAGAAAGAAAAUGUGGCCAAUGCCCCAGGAUCUUAUUUGGUCAUCCAGGCUGGACUGCAGUGGUGUGAUCAUAGCUCACUGCAGCCUCAAACUGCUGGACUCCAGUGAUCUUCCAGCCUCAGCCUCCCCCGGUAGCAAGGACUACAGGGUCCCAGAAGGAACCAACGCUGCCCACACCUUAAUUUGAGACUUCUGGCCUCUGAGAAAUGAGAAAGAGUCUCACUCUCUGUCGCCCAGCCUGGAGUGCAGUGGCAUCAUCUGAGCUCACUACAACCUCCGCCUCCCGGGUUCAAGCGAUUCUCCUGCCUCAGCCUCCUGAGUAGCUGGGACUACAGGCACGCGCCACCACGCCCAGCUAAUUUUCGUAUUUUUAAUAGACAUGGGGUUUCACCAUGUUGGCCAGGCUGCUCUUGAACUGCUAACCUCAAGUGAUCCACCAGCGUUGGCCUCUCAAAGUACUAGGAUUACAGUGCUAGGAGCCACCAUGCCCGGCCGCCUCUCUUUUCUUUUACACAUGAAGAAAAAGUGGUCAGAGAAGUUAACUUGGUCAGUGCCAAAAGCACUGGAAGUGAGUAGGACCAAGCUUUUCAUCUAGAUUUGUUUGUUAGACUCUAAAUCCAAAUUCACAACAAGAUCAGAAUAUGAGAAACCUAAGGAACAAAAUUCUAGGAAUCAUUUCUAGAAACUGUGGCUAUUGAAAAAGCACAGACCUAGGGAAUCAAAUUAUUUUCCCUGCCACCAGCACAUGGGUAGGCCUGUGACAAAUUCCAUGCUCUGGACCCCAGAUUCCUCAGUGAGAAUAGAAGGGGCUAGAGACAUCAGGGAAUUGGAUUUGGUGACUUUAAUACCCACUCAGCUCCAAAGCAUUCUUGAAUGAUGCACGAUUUAUGAAUAUAUAUAUUGAAAUUUACUGAUGGGUGAACAGCUCUCAACAUGAGAUUUUUGUUGUAUGCCUUAAAAAAGAUUAUACAUAAAUAUGCGUGUGUGUGUGUAUGUAUGUUUCGAUGUAUAUGAACCCAUGAUCUGAAAAAUGGCCACUGUGGCUUGUGGAAACCUAUUAAUCUCUGCUGUUCCACCCAACAUCCUCAGAGAAAAAAAUAAACAACUUUUUGAAAGUGCUGCCAUGGGGUCAGACCAAAUACUGUGGCCACUUCCAAGGGGUUUGCCUUGAUUUGCCUGGAUUCCUGUUCAUGUGACAUCUGCCUUCUAAUUCAAGGAUAUGAUCAAUUCAAUGUGUGAGUUAUCAAUCAAGGACUGGCAACAGUGAUGCUGAACAAGCCUGGUGGAAGGAAAGAGAAGGCAGGCCAGAGCCCAGACAGACGCAUUCACAAACCUUACAAAGAGGACAGGCUAAUUAGGGGCUGUAGUUCUCCCUCUCUUUAUAGUUGGUAUAAGAGGAGUGGUAAUCGUAGUGUCCAAAAAUAUAUGGGCUACAUAGUUGCUUAGUAAGCUGUGGGUAUGUGGUUUCUUCUGCAAGGUGCUUUCUUUCUGAUAAAGAGAUUACGUUGUUUGUUUGUUCAUUUAUUGAACAUAUUUACACUUACACACACACACACACACACACACAAUGUUCCAGAUACCGUACUUGGCAAUGGUAGUUAGACCUUGCUCUUGCAAAAUUUAUAAUGAAGUUGGGAAGUGUGGUUUGAUCCCUCAAAGUGUCCAAAUCCUAAUCCCCAG